AUCUUCCAUAUACUGAAAAUUGUUUAACCAUUAAACUUUUCUGGCUUAUACUUUGUGGAAUAUGAUAUCAUCUUGAAACCCUAGAUUGUGCACAAAAUAAAUAAAGAAGACGUCACUAUCAAGAAGAAACAAUUGUGCAUAGGGAAACACAAUCGCUCACAAAAUCAUUGAGUUUGAUGCAAUCACCACUAUAUAUGACACAAUACUCGCUGAGGACAAACCUAAACCAGUGGAA
Molecule: long non-coding RNA, 235 nt
Filed under: Carica papaya (papaya)
Lineage: Eukaryota; Viridiplantae; Streptophyta; Magnoliopsida; Brassicales; Caricaceae
Description: long non-coding RNA (CPAP_LNC006431)
Source: RNAcentral